Molecule: ribosomal RNA, 489 nt
Filed under: uncultured bacterium
Lineage: Bacteria
Description: bacterial SSU rRNA
Rfam family: Bacterial small subunit ribosomal RNA
Source: RNAcentral
CUGGCGGAAUGCUUUCACAUGCAAGUCGAGCGGCAGCGCGGGGCACCUGGCGGCGAGCGGCGAACGGGUGAGUAAUGCAUCGGAACAUGUCCAUUUGUGGGGGAUAGCCCGGCGAAAGCCGGAUUAAUACCGCAUACGCCCGAGAGGGGAAAGCCGGGGACCGCAAGGCCUGGCGCGAAUGGGUUGGCCGAUGUCCGAUUAGCUAGUUGGCGGGGUAAGAGCCCACCAAGGCGAUGAUCGGUAGCUGGUCUGAGAGGAUGAUCAGCCACACUGGGACUGAGACACGGCCCAGACUCCUACGGGAGGCAGCAGUGGGGAAUUUUGGACAAUGGGGGCAACCCUGAUCCAGCCAUUCCGCGUGAGUGAAGAAGGCCUUCGGGUUGUAAAGCUCUUUUGUCCGGAACGAAACGGGUAGCGUGAAUAUCGCUGCCUACUGACGGUACCGGAAGAAUAAGCACCGGCUAACUACGUGCCAGCAGCCGCGGUAAU